Molecule: long non-coding RNA, 327 nt
Organism: Homo sapiens (human)
Lineage: Eukaryota; Metazoa; Chordata; Mammalia; Primates; Hominidae
Source: Ensembl
UGUUAAAAGCAUGCGAAGCUCCCCAGCUGAACCUUGUAUUCUCUGACUAUUGAGCAACUUCGAUUCCACUGGCAGUCUAAGUUCAACCAACCUCAGAGGAGCCUUGGGCCACAGAGAAGACCUGACUCUACAGACAAUUCUCCAGUGUUUCCAACAUUGGCUCAACCCAAAACUCAACUUCAGCAGAAAUGAAGGUAAAACUGCAGGCUGCUUUAUCUGAACUCAGCAGCAAGAGAUAACAUAAAUGGAAGUAAUUUGGAAGCAGAAAGCAAAAUGCAAGUGUAAGGAAUAUUUAUAAUAAAACUCAAAAAUGUAUCAAAACAUAAA